Molecule: ribosomal RNA, 465 nt
Filed under: uncultured bacterium
Lineage: Bacteria
Description: bacterial SSU rRNA
Rfam family: Bacterial small subunit ribosomal RNA
Source: RNAcentral
GGAGGAAAGUAGGGGAUCGCAAGACCUUGCGCUUUUGGAGCGGCCGAUGUCUGAUUAGCUAGUUGGUGAGGUAAAGGCUUACCAAGGCUUCGAUCAGUAGCUGGUCUGAGAGGACGACCAGCCACACUGGGACUGAGACACGGCCCAGACUCCUACGGGAGGCAGCAGUGGGGAAUUUUGGACAAUGGGGGAAACCCUGAUCCAGCCAUGCCGCGUGAGUGAAGAAGGCCUUCGGGUUGUAAAGCUCUUUCAGCCGGAACGAAAAGGUUACGGUUAAUACCCGUGACUAAUGACGGUACCGGAAGAAGAAGCACCGGCUAACUACGUGCCAGCAGCCGCGGUAAUACGUAGGGUGCGAGCGUUGAUCGGAAUUACUGGGCGUAAAGCGUGCGCAGGCGGUUUUGUAAGUCAGAUGUGAAAUCCCCGGGCUCAACCUGGGAACUGCGUUUGAAACUACAAAGCUAG